Non-coding RNA from Lolium perenne, 2090 nucleotides. The record is from RefSeq and is a predicted model, not a curated record. Lineage: Eukaryota; Viridiplantae; Streptophyta; Magnoliopsida; Poales; Poaceae.
GCCAGAGGGGCAGAUCCGGACGAUCUUGACCAUCUAAUCACAAAAACCAACAGCUCAGAUUUCUUCUAAAACAUUGUUAGACGCCACCGUCACAUCCCACCAUCAACAAAUCAGCGAACCGUGGAAGGACAAAACAGAACCGCUAUGCACGAUCCCCAUUUCCCCAUCCCCAAACGCUGCACACAUCGCCGCACGCUGUCAGCCCCGUUCCCUCCGCACGCCCACGCCGCCGCCGCGCACUGCAGUCCGUCCCCCGCGCACGCCGCCCCCAAGUACACCGCCGCACACGCUGCAUGCCGCCCCCAAGCAAGCCAACACUCUGCAGGCCGCCCGCAAUCAACCGCCGCGCACUGAAGGCCGCCACGCUGGAGGCCGCCCCCAAGCACGCACAGCCCCGCCCGAUCCCAUCCCCUCUCAUGUUUUUCCGCAACCAUCGUCUGCAGAACGCGACGACACCGGCGCCAACCUGCACACGCUGACCCGCCCGCCUCAACGCCCUGCGCGCGCCAACCUCUCCGGCAUGAGGACGCCGCCGCGCCUUCCUGCCCGACGCUAGGGCGCCGCUGAUGCACAGCCCAGCGCGAGGAUGCCGCGAGCGAGCCGCCACCGCUGCCUGCACCUAUCCGUCCACAUGCACCGACCAUUCGUCUUCACCAGCCCGUCCCUACACCAGGUGUGAAGAAAAUCCACUGUCUACAUUAUUGCCACAAAGCAUAAACGAAUGGCAGGCCACACUAGAUGCCAGGUUCAAUGGUGGAUUAUUGAGCAAUAAUCUUCAAGCAUCCUCUCUGAUCUAUCAGCGGCUAGCAAGCUGCGCAGCACUGCCAUCUGCAGCAUGAAGGUAAUUGCAGUGUUCCUGCUCCUGCAGAUGCUCUUGACAAGCCAGGAACUCUGAUGUCAAAUCCUAUCUCUCAAAGUGGCAUCAAAAUUAACACUGGUCUAAAAUCAUUUUCAAAAUGGUCUCUCGAUUCAGGUAUGAGUGCAAGUCCAUCCAGUGUAGUUUUCAAAAGAUCCUUUUUGGACAGGUCCUCGCAUAUUCAGAACUCUACGUUGUACAGUAAACGGUGGAGUUGUUCAGUAAUAAUAUAUCUUUCAUGACUAUCAAUCAAUAUUAAGUGCACUUUUUUCCUUUAGAAAUUCAUCUUCUGCAAUUUGGUUAUGAAAUCCCAAAUGUAUUUGUCUCUUUUUUUCCUGAGACAAAAACUGGUCUUUUUUCAUCUCCACUAAUAUAAAAGCUGUUUGAAUCUAAUUACCAUCAAGUUCAGUUAGUACUCCUGAUAUAUACAACGCUCAUCGCCUUUGGGUACUAAUCCUUUUCCUUUUGUCUUAUUUUUCCAUUUGUUCCCGCAGCCAGCAGGAAGAGUCAGGCUAUAUCAAGAAAUACAAAUUUCUUACCAGCAGUCAAGCCUCGGCGACAAUUUCCUCGCCUGAUUCAUCACGCUUGCCUCACCGGUCAGGUCUGAAACUCUGCCCUCACAUUUGGGUUGUGGACAUGUUGUCAUGGCAAACUUACUCUUCCAUGAUGCAGGUCAUGCCCUCAUCCUUUGUUCCGUGAUAUGAUUGUUCCUGAUCAUGAGAGGAGGUUAGGAGAUAUAGGUUAUGACAGUCUUGAACCCUUUUCCGAGCUUUUGCUAAAGCCAAACAACUGAAGGUAUUUACAAUGAUGGUAUUUUUAGAAAAGAUGGUAUCAGUGGUCAUGGGAGACACUAAAUUGGCUACGAAGGAGGUCACCAAGCCCAGCUACAUCACGGAGAGGCAGGUGAAACGCCAGGAUUGCGGGCAUGAGCAGCCAGGUCUGUUCGACACAUCAGUCUUCAAGCCAGGUCUGUGACUGAGUGAAGACAUUGAUGCUUUCUAGCUUCUUGGUGUCAGGUAACAGAAAUGCAAAGAAGGCCUUGUGUUGUUGCAUGGGGCUAUAUUUGUAGUGUACUUCGGCUGGUAUAUGUGACUCUUAAGAGGUUUGUUACUAUCGUAGGGUAACAUAUUUGUUGUCAAGCCGCUUCAAAUGGUUCUUGAUGAUGUACCAACAGCUUGUGCAUUUAGACGACUUUGUAUAGAAAAAGUAAAGAUUCGUCAUAUAUGUUAAUAAU